UUAUGGUUUUUGGCGCAUCAA
Molecule: non-coding RNA, 21 nt
Filed under: Arabidopsis thaliana (thale cress)
Lineage: Eukaryota; Viridiplantae; Streptophyta; Magnoliopsida; Brassicales; Brassicaceae
Source: RNAcentral